CUAGAGUGCUCUUCUUGUUAUUAGUUGUAGGUUUUUGUGAAUCCCUAUUAUUUCCAGUCUGAGCGACUUAGUGCCAGUUGAACUCCCUCUCCUCUGUGCACACAAUAGGUGUACCAGAACUUUUUAUCCCUACGUGCAAUGUAUGUUGGCAGCCAUAUUUUAAACAAUCUGUUCCUCUGUUCAUCAUUCAAAUUAUGUUUAGCUAAAUUAGACUCAAAUACGUCUGCAUUACCAAAGGCAUCCAUUGAUGGUUUAUAUGGGGGAAUAUCUUUGGUAACUUUCAUCAGCUGCUCUUGAAUUUUUAAUUUAAGUUUUGCAGCCUUAUCUAACAAUUUUCUGAGUUGCAAAUCAGACUGGGAUGAUAUUUCUGUGACAUCAACUGGCUCUGGUAUCAAAUUAU
Non-coding RNA from Pelobates cultripes (western spadefoot toad), 400 nucleotides. The record is from the annotation of a GenBank genome assembly. NCBI's taxonomy places the organism in Eukaryota, Metazoa, Chordata, Amphibia, Anura, Pelobatidae.